UACGAAGGGGACUAGCGUUGUUCGGAAUAACUGGGCGUAAAGCGCACGUAGGCGGAUUAUUAAGUCAGGGGUGAAAUCCCGGGGCUCAACCUCGGAACUGCCUUUGAUACUGGUAAUCUCGAGUCCGGAAGAGGUGAGUGGAAUUCCUAGUGUAGAGGUGAAAUUCGUAGAUAUUAGGAAGAACACCGGUGGCGAAGGCGGCUCACUGGUCCGGUACUGACGCUGAGGUGCGAAAGCGUGGGGAG
This 245-nucleotide ribosomal RNA is filed under the name uncultured bacterium. RNAcentral describes it as "partial 16S ribosomal RNA". It matches the Rfam family "Bacterial small subunit ribosomal RNA", at positions 524 to 768 of the family's 1533-position model. The record is from RNAcentral.